GACGAACGCUGGCGGCGUGCUUAACACAUGCAAGUCGAACGGUGAUGCUCCAGCUUGCUGGAGUGGAUCAGUGGCGAACGGGUGAGUAACACGUGAGCAACCUGCCCCAGACUCUGGAAUAAGCGCUGGAAACGGCGUCUAAUACUGGAUACGAAACUGGCCCGCAUGGGCAUGGUUUGGAAAGUUUUUCGGUUUGGGAUGGGCUCGCGGCCUAUCAGCUUGUUGGUGAGGUAAGGGCUCACCAAGGCGACGACGGGUAGCCGGCCUGAGAGGGCGACCGGCCACACUGGGACUGAGACACGGCCCAGACUCCUACGGGAGGCAGCAGUGGGGAAUAUUGCACAAUGGGCGAAAGCCUGAUGCAGCGACGCCGCGUGAGGGAUGACGGCCUUCGGGUUGUAAACCUCUUUCAGCAGGGAAGAAGCGAAAGUGACGGUACCUGCAGAAGAAGCACCGGCUAACUACGUG
This 468-nucleotide ribosomal RNA is filed under the name uncultured bacterium. Its description in RNAcentral is "partial 16S ribosomal RNA". It matches the Rfam family "Bacterial small subunit ribosomal RNA", at positions 28 to 507 of the family's 1533-position model. The record is from RNAcentral.